AUUGAACGCUGGCGGCAGGCCUAACACAUGCAAGUCGAGCGAGCGGCGGACGGGUGAGUAAUGUAUGGGGACUGCCCGAUAGAGGGGGAUAACUACUGGAAACGGUGGCUAAUACCGCAUACUAUCGGAUAACCUAUAUGGGAUUAGCUAGUGGGUGGGGUAAAGGCUCACCUAGGCGACGAUCUCUAGCUGGGCUGAGAGGAUGAUCGGCAACACGGGGACUGAGACACGGCCCAGAGUCCUAGGGAGGCAGAAGUGGGGAAGAUUGCACAAGGGGCGCAAGCCUGAGGCAGCCAUGCCGCGUGUAUGAAGAAGGCCUUAGGGUUGUAAAGUACUUUCAGCGGGGAGGCGUUAACCGCAGAAAAAGCACCGGCUAACUCCGUGCCAGCAGCCGCGGUAAUAC
Molecule: ribosomal RNA, 403 nt
Filed under: uncultured bacterium
Lineage: Bacteria
Description: partial 16S ribosomal RNA
Rfam family: Bacterial small subunit ribosomal RNA
Source: RNAcentral